CACAUGCUUGUUACAUACCGUGGGCAAGCAGCAUAACCACUCAGCAAGCUAUAACCAGAGCCCAAUUUACUUAUGUCAGGGAUGCUAGAAGAAUGGAACCAGGGCCUUGAAAAUACUAGGCAAGUGCUCUACCACUGAGCUACACCCCCAGCCUGAAAAGAAUUGGGGGGGGGGCGUUACUGGUGGUUGAAUUCAAGGGCACUCACCCACUGAGCCACAUCACCAGCCCAGUUUUGUAUUUUAUUUGGAAACAAGAUUCUCACCGAGUUGCUUAGUGCCUUGCUGUUGCUGAGGCUGGCUUUGAACUCAACAAUCCUCCUGUCUCAGCCUCCCAAGCUUUUGGGCCAAUUUACAUUUUUUUAAUUUAUUUUUUUUAAAGAGGAGAGAGAAUUUUUUAAUAUUUAUUUUUUAGUUUUCAGCGGACACAACAUCUUUGUUUUUGUAUGUGGUGCUGAAGAUGGAACCCGGGCCGCACGCAUGCCAGGCGAGCGCGCUACUGCUUGAGCCACAUCCCCAGCCCCCAAUUUACAUUUUAGCAGGUGUUAAACUGGGUUAUCAGGGAGAGAAACAAAUACCUUUUCAUAAGGUUACUGUUAUUGUUUUUGGUGCUGGGAAUUGAACCCGGGAACACUUGGCAGCAGAGCUAUAUCCCCAGUUCCUUAUUUUGAGACAGGGUCUCACUGUUGUUACUUAGUGUGCCUGCCAUAAGGUUAUGUUUAAGAUAAGCAAAAUGGAUGAAUCCACAAGCUCAGAUGGUUUCAUCUGAAAUAAUUUCAACUUAGAAAUAACCUCAUUUACAACUGUGUGUGGGGGGUGAGCAUUGAACCUUUGUAUAAAGGAGAUGAUAAACACUGGGUUGAUUUGAGUUGUCAUCACCCAAGUAUCAGUUGUUGGCUAUGAUUAGACCCUAUCACCAUGAUGAGAUGUUGGAAAUUGAACCUCUGUUGAAUACUAAAUCCUACCACAUAGACUGAAAAGGGAUACUAAAGUGUCUAGUAAUUUUUUUUUUUUACAAUGUUCUGUUCCACACCCCUUUGGAAUAAAUGAUAGAAAUUGCUGGGCAUGGUGGCACAUGCCUGUAAUCCCAGUGGCUCAGAGGCUAAGGCAGGAAGGAGGCUUGCAGGUUUUUGAGGGCAAUCUCAGC
Molecule: long non-coding RNA, 1144 nt
Filed under: Marmota monax (woodchuck)
Lineage: Eukaryota; Metazoa; Chordata; Mammalia; Rodentia; Sciuridae
Source: RNAcentral